GGGCCAGCCUUGAGCUGCUGAGAAACUUCAUCCACCAAACUACUCGAAGUCAAACCUGCAGCCAUGCCUUUACUUUUACAAGAUUCAGUAAUUAUGUUCUUAGGAGCUCGUACUCGUUCAAGGGACUCACAAUUGGCCAUCAUCUCAGGUUCAAGCCCGGCAAGACGUUUCGAAGACCGACGAGGCAAACUAAGCUCUUGCUUGUUCUUUGAUUGCAUUGAGUUUAUACGAGUUUUUCUGCUGCUUCUCUUUUCCCCAUCGGUCGUCUGCAUGCUCGUCUCCUGCAGGAUAUCAGCUGCAGGAUUUAAAACAGGCCCACUAACAGGAUUAGAAUUCACCGGUAGUUCACCAAUCAGAGCCUUGAAUGCAGGUCCCAGGCAUGGAUCUAAAUAAGAAUUCCCAAAGAAUAAGGAUACACGUUGUUCAGACAUGUCACCACUGGUUUCAGCAGAUUUCAACUUUUGCAAUUGCUCUCCAGGAGUGGUCUGGCUUCUUGAAGAUUUGACCUUGUUUAAUGGCUCUCCACUUGAUAGAAUGGUUACGUCAGACGACACAUUUGCAAGUUCUGGUACUGAGCCAGCCUUGAGAUGCUGAGAUACUUUAUUCACCAAGCCCGUAGAAGUCAAAACUGCAGAUGAAAUGACCAUAUUUUUACAUGAUUCUGUAGUUACCUUUUUGGGAGCUUGUUCAAUGGACAUGCAGUUGGACACCAGCUCAGGUUCAAGCCCAACAAGACGUUUUGAAGACCGAAGAGGGAAGUUAAGCUUUUUCCUUUUUGCAGAUUUGGUCAUAUCAUUCAGAGUUUUUCCAUUGCUGCACUCAAUGUGACUAUCAAGUAAUCUUUGUUCUUGAAGACUAUCAAUAAC
This 866-nucleotide long non-coding RNA is filed under the name Citrus sinensis (sweet orange). RNAcentral's name for it is "long non-coding RNA (CSIN_LNC001983)". Lineage: Eukaryota; Viridiplantae; Streptophyta; Magnoliopsida; Sapindales; Rutaceae. The record is from RNAcentral.